RNAcentral lists this ribosomal RNA (494 nucleotides) under uncultured bacterium. RNAcentral describes it as "partial 16S ribosomal RNA". It matches the Rfam family "Bacterial small subunit ribosomal RNA", at positions 899 to 1397 of the family's 1533-position model. The record is from RNAcentral.
ACUCAAAUGAAUUGACGGGGGCCCGCACAAGCGGUGGAGCAUGUGGUUUAAUUCGACGCAACGCGAAGAACCUUACCGGGGCUUGACAUCCUGCGCUAUCCUAGGAGACUAGGCUUUCUAGCAAUAGAACGCAGAGACAGGUGCUGCAUGGCUGUCGUCAGCUCGUGCCGUGAGGUGUUGGGUUAAGUCCCGCAACGAGCGCAACCCUUGCCGUGUGUUGGUCCAAAAGAUCUCUCACGCGGGACCGCCGGUGACAAGCCGGAGGAAGGUGGGGAUGACGUCAAGUCAGCAUGGCCCUUACGUCCCGGGCUACACACGUGCUACAAUGGAACGGACAGCGAGUCGCGAACCCGCGAGGGUAAGCUAAUCUCACAAACCGUUUCUCAGUUCGGAUUGAAGGCUGCAACUCGCCUUCAUGAAGUCGGAAUCGCUAGUAACCGCAGAUCAGCUACGCUGCGGUGAAUACGUUCCCGGGCCUUGUACACACCGCCCGU